AGUUUGAUCAUGGCUCAGAACGAACGCUGGCGGCAGGCUUAACACAUGCAAGUCGAGCGCAUCCUUCGGGGUGAGCGGCGGACGGGUUAGUAACGCGUGGGAACGUGCCUUUUGCUACGGGAUAGCCCAGGGAAACUUGGAUUAAUACCGUAUACGCCCGAGAGGGGAAAGAUUUAUCGGCAAGAGAUCGGCCCGCGUUGGAUUAGGUAGUUGGUGGGGUAACGGCCUACCAAGCCGACGAUCCAUAGCUGGUUUGAGAGGAUGAUCAGCAACACUGGGACUGAGACACGGCCCAGACUCCUACGGGAGGCAGCAGUGGGGAAUCUUGGACAAUGGGGGCAACCCUGAUCCAGCCAUGCCGCGUGGACGAUGAAGGCCUUAGGGUUGUAAAGUCCUUUCGCCGGGGAAGAUAAUGACGGUACCCGGUAAAGAAGCCCCGGCUAACUCCGUGCCAGCAGCCGCGGUAAUACGGAGGGGGCUAGCGUUGUUCGGAAUUACUGGGCGUAAAGCGCACGUAGGCGGAUCAGUCAGUCAGGGGUGAAAUCCCGGGGCUCAACCCCGGAACUGCCUUUGAUACUGCUGAUCUGGAGGUCGAGAGAGGCGAGUGGAAUUCCGAGUGUAGAGGUGAAAUUCGUAGAUAUUCGGAGGAACACCAGUGGCGAAGGCGGCUCGCUGGCUCGAUACUGACGCUGA
RNAcentral lists this ribosomal RNA (693 nucleotides) under uncultured bacterium. RNAcentral's name for it is "bacterial SSU rRNA". It matches the Rfam family "Bacterial small subunit ribosomal RNA", at positions 10 to 749 of the family's 1533-position model. The record is from RNAcentral.